RNAcentral lists this ribosomal RNA (283 nucleotides) under uncultured Lactobacillus sp. Its description in RNAcentral is "partial 16S ribosomal RNA". It matches the Rfam family "Bacterial small subunit ribosomal RNA", at positions 252 to 524 of the family's 1533-position model. The record is from RNAcentral. Lineage: Bacteria; Bacillati; Bacillota; Bacilli; Lactobacillales; Lactobacillaceae.
GUUAGUAGUAAAGGCUUACCAAGGCGAUGAUGCAUAGCCGAGUUGAGAGACUGAUCGGCCACAUUGAGACUGAGACACGGCCCAAACUCCUACGGGAGGCAGCAGUAGGGAAUCUUCCACAAUGGACGCAAGUCUGAUGGAGCAACGCCGCGUGAGUGAAGAAGGUUUUCGGAUCGUAAAAGCUCUGUUGUUGGUGAAGAAGGAUAGAGGUAGUAACUGGCCUUUAUUUGACGGUAAUCAACCAGAAAGUCACGGCUAACUACGUGCCAGCAGCCGCGGUAAU